Molecule: ribosomal RNA, 466 nt
Filed under: uncultured bacterium
Lineage: Bacteria
Description: bacterial SSU rRNA
Rfam family: Bacterial small subunit ribosomal RNA
Source: RNAcentral
AUUGAACGCUGGCGGCAUGCUUUACACAUGCAAGUCGAACGGCAGCACGGGUGCUUGCACCUGGUGGCGAGUGGCGGACGGGUGAGUAAUACAUCGGAACGUGUCCAGAAGAGGGGGAUAACGCAUCGAAAGAUGUGCUAAUACCGCAUAUACUCUAAGGAGGAAAGCAGGGGAUCGAAAGACCUUGCGCUUUUGGAGCGGCCGAUGUCUGAUUAGCUAGUUGGUGGGGUAAGGGCCUACCAAGGCGACGAUCAGUAGUUGGUCUGAGAGGACGACCAGCCACACUGGGACUGAGACACGGCCCAGACUCCUACGGGAGGCAGCAGUGGGGAAUUUUGGACAAUGGGCGCAAGCCUGAUCCAGCAAUGCCGCGUGAGUGAAGAAGGCCUCGGUUGUAAGUACGUACUUCUAGUCGAGAAGAAAAGGAACGUAGACGAGUGAAUAACUAGUAGUUAUUAGUACGUAG